This 772-nucleotide long non-coding RNA is filed under the name Capsicum annuum. RNAcentral's name for it is "long non-coding RNA (CANN_LNC006028)". Lineage: Eukaryota; Viridiplantae; Streptophyta; Magnoliopsida; Solanales; Solanaceae. The record is from RNAcentral.
AAAAGGCGAGGAGCACCAUGUCAUCAUCAUGUCUCCGGAGAGUGGGACUGUGGGUGAGAAACUGCCGACGUCCUCCUCAACUUACAGAUGAAGAAAGGCCUCUACUCACUGGUGAAGGAAGCCGUCAAGUUGAAAGAGCUGUUAUUCCUGUUGGUCUUCAAGCUGUAAGCUGAUACAGGAGAUGAAGAAAGGCUUCUACUCACUGGUCAAGGAACCCGUCAAGUUGAAAGAGCUGUUAUUCCUGUUGGUCUUCAAGCUGAUACAUGAGAUGAAGAAAGGCCUGGUGGUAGUGUUGGUGGCGACGGUAGUGCUGGUGGUGGUCUUCCACCAGUUGAGGCUGAUCUGAAGGCAUUGUUGUCCACUGGUACUGCCAUUACUAACUUGGAGAAUGACCAGAGGGAGGUAGUUGAGGAGAUGAUUGACUUGGAAUCUAAGGCUGAAGGAAUACAUCGUCGUUUACCAACUGUUGACCUACUUGGUCACCUUUUCAGGCGCGGGUAUUCUUUUUGGUUACAGGAAGGUGGCCUGUGCUGAAAUUGUUGUUCUGUGGUUUAUAGUCCUUGGGUCUUCGCCCUAGCUGGCCUAAUUUUAUUCCUUUCCAUGAGCUUUAACAUUCACAGAAUGAAACCCUUGGUGGAACAUCUGACUGAAAGGGGAAAGGUAAUAGCCGAGUCUGCAAAGGAGCUUAUAGACAGAGAAACAGGUCGAAAAAGGGGUGACAAUGCACGGGAUGAGGGUGGAAAUCCUUAACCUCUUGGAAAAGUUGGUGGAG